RNAcentral lists this long non-coding RNA (221 nucleotides) under Homo sapiens (human). RNAcentral describes it as "long non-coding RNA NONHSAT156146". Lineage: Eukaryota; Metazoa; Chordata; Mammalia; Primates; Hominidae. The record is from RNAcentral.
GGGACAAAGUCCCUGCCUGGUAAAAGAUCUGGCUGGUUCUUUCAGGGGAACGUAACAUCUGCAUGACUCAUGCGUGCAAACCACCCACACGCUAGGAAUCUGAAGUGGUUGCUCCUAGAAACAGAAAUAAACGACCAUCCAGUGAUGAAGAGUUUUCCCCAGCAAAGAGACAACUCCAGGGAAGAGCUUUCCAGUGUGAGUACAGAGAUUGUGGUUUAAGG